RNAcentral lists this ribosomal RNA (551 nucleotides) under uncultured bacterium. Its description in RNAcentral is "bacterial SSU rRNA". It matches the Rfam family "Bacterial small subunit ribosomal RNA", at positions 355 to 897 of the family's 1533-position model. The record is from RNAcentral.
UAGGGAAUCUUCGGCAAUGGACGGAAGUUUGACCGAGCAACGCCANGUGAGUGAAGAAGGUUUUCGGAUCGUAAAGCUCUGUUGUAAGAGAAGAACGAGUGUGAGAGUGGAAAGUUCACGCUGUGACGGUAUCUUACCAGAAAGGGACGGCUAACUACGUGCCAGCAGCCGCGNUAAUACGUAGGUCCCGAGCGUUGUCCGGAUUUAUUGGGCGUAAAGNGAGCGCAGGCGGUUAGAUAAGUCUGAAGUUAAAGGCUGUGGCUUAACCAUAGUAGGCUUUGGAAACUGUUUAACUUGAGUGCAAGAGGGGAGAGUGGAAUUCCAUGUGUAGCGGUGAAAUGCGUAGAUAUAUGGAGGAACACCGGUGGCGAAAGCGGCUCUCUGGCUUGUAACUGACGCUGAGGCUCGAAAGCGUGGGGAGCAAACAGGAUUAGAUACCCUGGUAGUCCACGCUGUAAACGAUGAGUGCUAGGUGUUAGACCCUUUCCGGGGUUUAGUGCCGUAGCUAACGCAUUAAGCACUCCGCCUGGGGAGUACGACCGCAAGNUUGA